Molecule: long non-coding RNA, 689 nt
Organism: Pyrus x bretschneideri (Chinese white pear)
Lineage: Eukaryota; Viridiplantae; Streptophyta; Magnoliopsida; Rosales; Rosaceae
Exons: 2
Source: RefSeq, a predicted model, not a curated record
GCUGAGUUAUUAUGGGCCUUCAAAUUUAAUAAUUCAUACAAUAAUUAAGGAACAAAAAUAAAUAGGGUGUGCAAAGGAAAAAAACCGUGUGCGAAAUCACUUUCCGCGAAGUUAAAUCAACACUCAAUACACUCCUCAUGAGCUCUUUACUCUUCCUAGUCCUAUCCUCUUGACAGCCCUGCCCUAAAACCAUUCAAUCAGCCGCGACUGCAGACAUACGGCCAUGUGAAGGUCUUCAGGCUCUCAAUUUUCCGGAAGAUUUCACAAAGACGUGCUCUUCACCGUUGCGUAACGUCAAGGAACUGGAGGUAAGGAUUCUUUCUCCGUCGGGUGCUAGAGACUCCGACUUAAGAGACUCCUUGGUUUGGAUGGCACCUUCUGCGAGCAUUCCACCAGUGAAGUACUCUCGAGAUAUCUCGCCAACGUAAAACAAUGCUUUCGGGGUUAAAAAGACAGCCAGAACUGUUUUCCCUUGGUAAUGGAUUCGUGAAAAGCCCAUUGGAGAAGCUUCGUCAACUAGAAGAAGCUAAAAAUAGUUCUAUCGAUUUGCAUAUUUGCGUAUAUUUUCUCUGUUGAUGGCUGUGAUUCUGCGACGUGUAUUGAAGGGAAAUUUUGUUAAUUAAUUGGAUCCUGGAAUUUCCAUGUUUCUGUAUAUUUCGAAAUAUGAGUGUGUGACUUGGUAAGUUUCA